CGGAGGGAUCAUUAAAGAGUUCUAUAACUCCCAAACCCAUGUGAACAUACCUAACGUUGCCUCGGCAGGUCGCACCUACCUUGUAGCACCCUACCCUGUAGGGCCUACCCGGGAGGUGCGGGUAAGCCUGCCGGCGGCCCACCAAACUCUGUUUGAUAUUGAAUUCUGAACCUAUAACUAAAUAAGUUAAAACUUUCAACAACGGAUCUCUUGGUUCUGGCAUCGAUGAAGAACGCAGCGAAAUGCGAUAAGUAAUGUGAAUUGCAGAAUUCAGUGAAUCAUCGAAUCUUUGAACGCAUAUUGCGCCCAUUAGUAUUCUAGUGGGCAGGACCGUUCGAGCGUCAUUUCAACCCUUAAGCCUUCGUUGCUUAGUGUUGGGAGCCUACGGCAACGUAGCUCCUCAAAGUUAGUGGCGGAGUUGGUUCACACUCUAGACGUAGUAAUUUUUUAUCUCGCCUAUUAGUUGGACUAAUCCCCUGCCGUAAAACCCCCAAUUUAUCAAGGUUGACCUCGAAUCGGUUCAGACAAACUCGCUAAAUUGAAGCAUCUUAGUCAGCGAAGGAAAAGAAACCAACAGGGAUUGCCCUAGUAACGGCGAGUGAAGCGGCAAC
RNAcentral lists this ribosomal RNA (611 nucleotides) under fungal endophyte. Its description in RNAcentral is "eukaryotic LSU rRNA". The stretch from base 191 to 344 matches the Rfam family "5.8S ribosomal RNA". Lineage: Eukaryota; Fungi. The record is from RNAcentral.